GGGCGUAAGGGCUCGCAGGCGGUUUCUUAAGUCUGAUGUGAAAGCCCCCGGCUCAACCGGGGAGGGUCAUUGGAAACUGGGAAACUUGAGUGCAGAAGAGGAGAGUGGAAUUCCACGUGUAGCGGUGAAAUGCGUAGAGAUGUGGAGGAACACCAGUGGCGAAGGCGACUCUCUGGUCUGUAACUGACGCUGAGGAGCGAAAGCGUGGGGAGCGAACAGGAUUAGAUACCCUGGUAGUCCACGCCGUAAACGAUGAGUGCUAAGUGUUAGGGGGUUUCCGCCCCUUAGUGCUGCAGCUAACGCAUUAAGCACUCCGCCUGGGGAGUACGGUCGCAAGACUGAAACUCAAAGGAAUUGACGGGGGCCCGCACAAGCGGUGGAGCAUGUGGUUUAAUUCGAAGCAACGCGAAGAACCUUACCAGGUCUUGACAUCCUCUGACAACCCUAGAGAUAGGGCUUUCCCUUCGGGGACAGAGUGACAGGUGGUGCAUGGUUGUCGUCAGCUCGUGUCGUGAGAUGUUGGGUUAAGUCCCGCAACGAGCGCAACCCUUGAUCUUAGUUGCCAGCAUUCAGUUGGGCACUCUAAGGUGACUGCCGGUGACAAACCGGAG
RNAcentral lists this ribosomal RNA (611 nucleotides) under Bacillus pumilus. Its description in RNAcentral is "bacterial SSU rRNA". It matches the Rfam family "Bacterial small subunit ribosomal RNA", at positions 556 to 1168 of the family's 1533-position model. Lineage: Bacteria; Bacillati; Bacillota; Bacilli; Caryophanales; Bacillaceae. The record is from RNAcentral.